CCUACGGGUGGCAGCAGUGAGGAAUAUUGGUCAAUGGACGAGAGUCUGAACCAGCCAAGUAGCGUGAAGGAUGACUGCCCUAUGGGUUGUAAACUUCUUUUAUAUGGGAAUAAACUGUUCCACGUGUGGGAUUUUGUAUGUACCAUAUGAAUAAGGAUCGGCUAACUCCGUGCCAGCAGCCGCGGUAAUACGGAGGAUCCGAGCGUUAUCCGGAUUUAUUGGGUUUAAAGUGAGCGUAGGUGGAUUGUUAAGUCAGUUGUGAAAGUUUGCGGCUCAACCGUAAAAUUGCAGUUGAAACUGGCAGUCUUGAGUACAGUAGAGGUGGGCGGAAUUCGUGGUGUAGCGGUGAAAUGCUUAGAUAGCACGAAGAACUCCGAUUGCGAAGGCAGUUCACUGGACUGCAACUGACACUGAGGCUCGAAAGUGUGGGUAUCAAACAGGAUUAGAUACCCCAGUAGUC
Molecule: ribosomal RNA, 460 nt
Filed under: uncultured bacterium
Lineage: Bacteria
Description: partial 16S ribosomal RNA
Rfam family: Bacterial small subunit ribosomal RNA
Source: RNAcentral